AAACCGCGAUUUCCUGUCAUCUCUGAUUGGCGGUUGGGGUUGGAUUCAAAACAGUGGCUCCGCCCAUCUGACGUCACGUAGAUCACACAACACGGAAACUACGGAUGACCGUCGUCUGCUGUUUAUCCUGUUCACUUCAAUAAGGUCCCACAUGUAACCGUCCGGCCUGAAAGGUUUGGCACUUUCUCUGUGAUGAUCAUGGACAGUUAGUCAGUCCUGUCAGUACUCCAAUGGAAGCUUCAGUCACAGCUGCUCCUCCACCCAUCUCCUCCAGCCCACUGCCCCUGCGACCGGCCAUUGCCCUGUCGGUCCAGCUCGGCUUCACUAUCCUCUACACCUCCCUAUACGCCGGACUGUUCCUGGUGGUGUACACACAACUCUGGCUUCUCUACCUCUACAGACACAAAAGAUGGAGCUACCAGAGUGUCUUUCUGUUUCUCUGCCUGCUCUGGGCUGCCCUCCGCACCACCCUCUUCUCCUUUUACUUCUGUAAUGCUCUGGAGGCCAACCACCUGCCUGUUGCAGUGUACUGGCUGCUCUACUGCUUCCCUGUCUGUCUGCAGUUCUUCACUCUCAGCCUUAUUAACCUGUAUUUCACUCGGGUGUUACUCAAAGUGAGAAACAUUUACAGCUCAGAAGUGGACAGAGGAGUGUGGCUGGCACGGUGCAUGUACGGUGCACUGAGCGCCAUCUUCCUCUGUGUCAACGUGGUUUGCGCAGCUCUCAGGGACAGCGUUGCCGGCGGCGAGUGGACCUGGAAUCUGGUCCUGGUUCGAGUUCUGGUCAACGACUUGCUCUUCAUCCUGGACGCGGUGUUACUGGCCGCUUUGCUGUUGCUCCUGACCAGACACUCACGCUCCACCAGCCCGUACCUGAUCAGCAAGGGCACCACGGUGUGUCGUACAGCAGCACUGGGAGUUGCAGUGAUCUUGUUGUUUGCCAGUCGAGCCUGCUACAACCUGACGGUGCUCAUUCUGUCUCAGAACCACCGGGUGGAGUCGUUCAACUUCGACUGGUACAACGUCUCCGAUCAGGCUGACCUGCGCAGUGAGCUGGGCGACAGGGGCUACCUGGCCUUUGGCGCCAUCCUCUUCAUAUGGGAGCUGCUCCCAACCAGCCUGCUCAUCCUCAUCUUCAGAGUGCGCCAGCCUGCUCAAGAGGUUUUCACAGAGCAGCAGCAUGGCCGUUAACAACAGGGUCCUACCUCGUCCAUAUUUCUUUGAUGACCCUCAAGGCAGCGAUGAGGACUCACCUGUUCCAUGGGCACGCACUUCACAUCCACACUCAAGCUGGUACGGAUCAGAGACCGCUCCUCUCCUGUUUGCCAGCAAACCUCUAGACCACAGCCACCAGCACCACUCCUUCUACUCCACCCCCCAGAACUGACCCUGACUCCACUAUCAGGGUCAGCGUGUCCUCAAGGGCAGACCGCACACAACUACCAGCCGGCACUACUUGCCUCUGAACUGUUUUUGCACUGAAAUCCUCAGGAACUCAUCAAACAAACAUUGAAUAUGCACCUUGUAGAUUUGAAUAUGCACCUUGUAGAUUUGAACAGAGACUAUAGUGAAAACAUUUUCUUGGCUCAAAGGGAACAAACUAGCGGGAGAAGCUCUGGCAGACAAACAUUGUGCUCGUUAAUCUCCUUAAAAAGCGCUAAAGGAGAUUAAGUCACAAUGUGUUAGCUUCUUUUUAUAAAUCCCUCUCCUAUUGUUGAAGAAACCAGGUAAACCAGGUAAAAAUUGCACAUUUAGCUUCGAUAGCAUUCCUUAUAAUUAAUGUUCAUAAGCUUGGCAACAACCACAGACAUUACUAAUUUGCAGUUUUUUGAAGAAGGUAACUUUUCUCUUACACUGACAAGUGUAGGAAAUUGACUAAAAUACAAAUGAUCAUUUGUCAUUUGAUAAAUAAUUCCACAUCAGCAGGUUGUCUCUUGUACACAUCGCUCAACUGUUUCCUUCUUGUCUAUUUUAGUUUAGAUGUCACUUUUGCAAAGAGUUUCAUAAUUUUUCAUUUUAAAAAGUUGAUUCUGUAUUCCUCUUGUAUAAUUGUAUUUUAGUUUGAAAGUUUAACUUAUUUUAUAAAUACAGUUCAAUCAAAUGUUA
RNA transcript from Cottoperca gobio, 2105 nucleotides. It is a transcript of the gene named G protein-coupled receptor 137, with no coding region annotated. The transcript is spliced from 8 exons. The record is from RefSeq and is a predicted model, not a curated record. NCBI's taxonomy places the organism in Eukaryota, Metazoa, Chordata, Actinopteri, Perciformes, Bovichtidae.